AGAGUUUGAUCCUGGCUCAGGAUGAACGCUGGCGGUAUGCUUAACACAUGCAAGUCGAACGAAAGUUUUUAACUUUAGUGGCGAACGGGUGCGUAAUACGUGAGAAUCUGCCCUUAGGAGGAGGAUAACUGCUGGAAACGGCUGCUAACACUCCAUAUGUCGAGAGAUGAAAUAAUUUAUUGCCUAAGGAUGAGCUCGCGCCUGAUUAGCUAGUUGGUGAGGUAAUGGCUCACCAAGGCCACGAUCAGUAGCUGGUUUGAGAGAACGAUCAGCCACACUGGGACUGAGACACGGCCCAGACUCCUCCGGGAGGCAGCAGUGAGGAAUUUUCCGCAAUGGGCGAAAGCCUGACGGAGCAAUACCGCGUGAGGGAUGAAGGAUUUUGGUCUGUAAACCUCUUUUCUCAAGAAAGAAGUUCUGACGGUACUUGAGGAAUAAGCAUCGGCUAACUCCGUGCCAGCAGCCGCGGUAAUACGGGGGAUGCAAGCGUUAUCCGGAAUCAUUGGGCGUAAAGCGCCUGUAGGUUGUUUAAUAAGUCUGUUGUUAAAGACUAGGGCUCAACCCUAGAAAAGCAAUGGAAACUACUAGACUAGAGUAUGGCAGGGGUAGAGGGAAUUUCUAGUGUAGCGGUGAAAUGCGUAGAUAUUAGAAAGAACACCGGUGGCGAAAGCGCUCUACUGGACCAUUACUGACACUCAGAGGCGAAAGCUAGGGUAGCAAAAGGGAUUAGAUACCCCUGUAGUCCUAGCCGUAAACGAUGGAUACUAGAUGUUGUGCAU
Molecule: ribosomal RNA, 779 nt
Filed under: marine metagenome
Description: bacterial SSU rRNA
Rfam family: Bacterial small subunit ribosomal RNA
Source: RNAcentral